GUGCCAGCAGCCGCGGUAAUACGAACUGCGCGAACGUUAUUCGGAAUCACUGGGCUUACAGGGUGCGUAGGCGGCGUGGAAAGUAGGGUGUGAAAUGCCUUGGCUCAACCAAGGCACAGCGCUCUAAACUACCGCGCUGGAGUGAGUCAGGGGUGCGCGGAACUUCCGGUGGAGCGGUGAAAUGUGUUGAUAUCGGAAGGAACACCGGUGGCGAAAGCGGCGCACUGGGGCUUAACUGACGCUGAUGCACGAAAGCCAGGGUAGCGAACGGGAUUAGAUACCCCUGUAGUCC
RNAcentral lists this ribosomal RNA (292 nucleotides) under uncultured bacterium. RNAcentral's name for it is "partial 16S ribosomal RNA". It matches the Rfam family "Bacterial small subunit ribosomal RNA", at positions 505 to 796 of the family's 1533-position model. The record is from RNAcentral.